GUCCUCAGGUGACUUUUGUGGCACCUUCCCAGCAGAUGAGUUCAGGCAGUGUAGCACAGCCAGUAGGGCAGCCAGUGGCUCCAGCCAUGCCUCAGAGUAGUGGCAGAGGUAGAGGGAGAGGGGCAGCCUCUACUUCAGCAGCAGGUUCCCGAGGUGGAAAUCCUGUAGCCCCAGCACGGAUUUUCACUAUGACUCAGGAGGAGGCUAAUACAUCGAACACAGUGGUGUCAGGUAAUCUCAUCAUUGGGUGUUCAGAUGUGUAUGCUUUGAUGGACCCCGGUGCUUCUCAUUCCUUUAUU
RNAcentral lists this long non-coding RNA (299 nucleotides) under Manihot esculenta (cassava). RNAcentral's name for it is "long non-coding RNA (MESC_LNC012579)". Lineage: Eukaryota; Viridiplantae; Streptophyta; Magnoliopsida; Malpighiales; Euphorbiaceae. The record is from RNAcentral.